Molecule: ribosomal RNA, 602 nt
Filed under: Nocardiopsis sp.
Lineage: Bacteria; Bacillati; Actinomycetota; Actinomycetes; Streptosporangiales; Nocardiopsidaceae
Description: bacterial SSU rRNA
Rfam family: Bacterial small subunit ribosomal RNA
Source: RNAcentral
CGGGUAGCCGGCCUGAGAGGGCGACCGGCCACACUGGGACUGAGACACGGCCCAGACUCCUGCGGGAGGCAGCAGUGGGGAAUAUUGCACAAUGGGCGAAAGCCUGAUGCAGCGACGCCGCGUGGGGGAUGACGGCCUUCGGGUUGUAAACCUCUUUUACCACCAACGCAGGCUCCGGGUUCUCUCGGGGUUGACGGUAGGUGGGGAAUAAGGACCGGCUAACUACGUGCCAGCAGCCGCGGUAAUACGUAGGGUCCGAGCGUUGUCCGGAAUUAUUGGGCGUAAAGAGCUCGUAGGCGGCAUGUCGCGUCUGCUGUGAAAGACCGGGGCUUAACUCCGGUUCUGCAGUGGAUACGGGCAUGCUAGAGGUAGGUAGGGGAAACUGGAAUUCCUGGUGUAGCGGUGAAAUGCGCAGAUAUCAGGAGGAACACCGGUGGCGAAGGCGGGUUUCUGGGCCUUACCUGACGCUGAGGAGCGAAAGCAUGGGGAGCGAACAGGAUUAGAUACCCUGGUAGUCCAUGCCGUAAACGUUGGGCGCUAGGUGUGGGGACUUUCCACGGUUUCCGCGCCGUAGCUAACGCAUUAAGCGCCCCGCCUGGGGA